UAGCUUGCUAGAAGAUGACGAGCGGCGGACGGGUGAGUAAUACUUAGGAAUCUACCUAGUAGUGGGGGAUAGCACGGGGAAACUCGUAUUAAUACCGCAUACGACCUACGGGAGAAAGGGGGCAGUUUACUGCUCUCGCUAUUAGAUGAGCCUAAGUCGGAUUAGCUAGAUGGUGGGGUAAAGGCCUACCAUGGCGACGAUCUGUAGCUGGUCUGAGAGGAUGAUCAGCCACACCGGGACUGAGACACGGCCCGGACUCCUACGGGAGGCAGCAGUGGGGAAUAUUGGACAAUGGGGGAAACCCUGAUCCAGCCAUGCCGCGUGUGUGAAGAAGGCCUUUUGGUUGUAAAGCACUUUAAGCAGUGAAGAAGACUCUUCGGUUAAUACCCGGAGACGAUGACAUUAGCUGCAGAAUAAGCACCGGCUAACUCUGUGCCAGCAGCCGCGGUAAUACAGAGGGUGCAAGCGUUAAUCGGAAUUACUGGGCGUAAAGGGAGCGUAGGUGGCUCGAUAAGUCAGAUGUGAAAUCCCCGGGCUCAACCUGGGAACUGCAUCUGAUACUGUUGAGCUAGAGUAUGUGAGAGGAAGGUAGAAUUCCAGGUGUAGCGGUGAAAUGCGUAGAGAUCUGGAGGAAUACCGAUGGCGAAGGCAGCCUUCUGGCAUAAUACUGACACUGAGGCUCGAAAGCGUGGGUAGCAAACAGGAUUAGAUACCCUGGUAGUCCACGCCGUAAACGAUGUCUACUAGUCGUUGGGUCCCUUGAGGACUUAGUGACGCAGCUAACGCAAUAAGUAGACCGCCUGGGGAGUACGGCCGCAAGGUUAAAACUCAAAUGAAUUGACGGGGGCCCGCACAAGCGGUGGAGCAUGUGGUUUAAUUCGAUGCAACGCGAAGAACCUUACCUGGUCUUGACAUAUCUAGAAUCCUGCAGAGAUGCGGGAGUGCCUUCGGGAAUUAGAAUACAGGUGCUGCAUGGCUGUCGUCAGCUCGUGUCGUGAGAUGUUGGGUUAAGUCCCGCAACGAGCGCAACCCUUGUCCUUAGUUACCAGCGGGUUAAGCCGGGAACUCUAAGGAUACUGCCAGUGACAAACUGGAGGAAGGCGGGGACGACGUCAAGUCAUCAUGGCCCUUACGACCAGGGCUACACACGUGCUACAAUGGUAGGUACAGAGGGCAGCUACACAGCGAUGUGAUGCGAAUCUCAAAAAGCCUAUCGUAGUCCAGAUUGGAGUCUGCAACUCGACUCCAUGAAGUAGGAAUCGCUAGUAAUCGCGGAUCAGAAUGCCGCGGUGAAUACGUUCCCGGGCCUUGUACACACCGCCCGUCACACCAUGGGAGUUG
This 1341-nucleotide ribosomal RNA is filed under the name Psychrobacter sp. RNAcentral's name for it is "bacterial SSU rRNA". It matches the Rfam family "Bacterial small subunit ribosomal RNA", at positions 76 to 1413 of the family's 1533-position model. The record is from RNAcentral. Lineage: Bacteria; Pseudomonadati; Pseudomonadota; Gammaproteobacteria; Moraxellales; Moraxellaceae.